RNAcentral lists this ribosomal RNA (818 nucleotides) under Vibrio japonicus. RNAcentral describes it as "bacterial SSU rRNA". It matches the Rfam family "Bacterial small subunit ribosomal RNA", at positions 232 to 1042 of the family's 1533-position model. Lineage: Bacteria; Pseudomonadati; Pseudomonadota; Gammaproteobacteria; Vibrionales; Vibrionaceae. The record is from RNAcentral.
UAGGUGGGAUUAGCUAGUUGGUGAGGUAAGGGCUCACCAAGGCGACGAUCCCUAGCUGGUCUGAGAGGAUGAUCAGCCACACUGGAACUGAGACACGGUCCAGACUCCUACGGGAGGCAGCAGUGGGGAAUAUUGCACAAUGGGCGCAAGCCUGAUGCAGCCAUGCCGCGUGUGUGAAGAAGGCCUUCGGGUUGUAAAGCACUUUCAGUCGUGAGGAAGGCGGGGUCGUUAAUAGCGGCGUCGUUUGACGUUAGCGACAGAAGAAGCACCGGCUAACUCCGUGCCAGCAGCCGCGGUAAUACGGAGGGUGCGAGCGUUAAUCGGAAUUACUGGGCGUAAAGCGCAUGCAGGUGGUUUGUUAAGUCAGAUGUGAAAGCCCGGGGCUCAACCUCGGAAUAGCAUUUGAAACUGGCAGACUAGAGUACUGUAGAGGGGGGUAGAAUUUCAGGUGUAGCGGUGAAAUGCGUAGAGAUCUGAAGGAAUACCGGUGGCGAAGGCGGCCCCCUGGACAGAUACUGACACUCAGAUGCGAAAGCGUGGGGAGCAAACAGGAUUAGAUACCCUGGUAGUCCACGCCGUAAACGAUGUCUACUUGGAGGUUGUGGCCUUGAGCCGUGGCUUUCGGAGCUAACGCGUUAAGUAGACCGCCUGGGGAGUACGGUCGCAAGAUUAAAACUCAAAUGAAUUGACGGGGGCCCGCACAAGCGGUGGAGCAUGUGGUUUAAUUCGAUGCAACGCGAAGAACCUUACCUACUCUUGACAUCCAGAGAACUUUCCAGAGAUGGAUUGGUGCCUUCGGGAACUCUGAGACAGGUGCU